Molecule: transfer RNA, 63 nt
Filed under: Casearia sylvestris
Lineage: Eukaryota; Viridiplantae; Streptophyta; Magnoliopsida; Malpighiales; Salicaceae
Source: RNAcentral
CGAAAUCGGUAGACGCUACGGACUUAAAUCCGUCGACUUUAGAAAUCGUGAGGGUUCAAGUCC